RNAcentral lists this ribosomal RNA (253 nucleotides) under uncultured bacterium. RNAcentral describes it as "partial 16S ribosomal RNA". It matches the Rfam family "Bacterial small subunit ribosomal RNA", at positions 524 to 776 of the family's 1533-position model. The record is from RNAcentral.
UACGAAGGGUGCAAGCGUUACUCGGAAUUACUGGGCGUAAAGCGUGCGUAGGCGGUUUGUUAAGUCCGCUGUGAAAGCCCUGGGCUCAACCUGGGAAUUGCAGUGGAUACUGGCAAGCUAGAGUGCGGUAGAGGAUGGUGGAAUUCCCGGUGUAGCGGUGAAAUGCGUAGAGAUCGGGAGGAACACCCGUGGCGAAGGCGGCUCUCUGGGACGUGACUGACGCUGAGACGCGAAAGCGUGGGGAGCGAACAGG